This is a long non-coding RNA of Hevea brasiliensis (rubber tree), 333 nucleotides long. RefSeq lists it as uncharacterized. NCBI's taxonomy places the organism in Eukaryota, Viridiplantae, Streptophyta, Magnoliopsida, Malpighiales, Euphorbiaceae. The transcript has 3 exons. The record is from RefSeq and is a predicted model, not a curated record.
GUGAGCUAUGGAGAUGGUUCAACUUCCAAAGGCUUCCUCAUAAAUUUUUGGAAUUUUUGAGACACAGAUAAACUUCGGGUGAUCGAGGUCAGCUAUUUUUCUGCAUCCAGCAGCCACAAUAGUCAUCGGUGUACUGCCACAGGAGGAGUUAUUUUACAGAGCAACCUGUUUUCUUCCUCGCAGGUUUAACGUCGAUUAUUUAAUUGUUUUACUAUCUUUUCUAAAUUUAAAAUCUAGAACUCCGCAUGUGUUAGUAAUAGUGUGGGCCUUGUUAGAAAUUGUGUUAAUUUAAAUUUUUGAAAUUAAUAAAUGAAGAUUUGUAUGGUAUUUAAA